UGAACCUGGACCCAGCUGUGUGUCCAUCAAGAGUGACGGGUCCAUUAGUCGCUUCAUUGAAUUUAAAGAUGGACAUUUAUCAAACAAAAAGAUCCAUCAGAGACCAGACUCUGCUGGACCUGGACCUGAACCUGAACCCAGCUGUGUGUCCUUCAAGAGUGACGGGUCCAUUGGUCGCUUCAUUGAAU
Long non-coding RNA from Larimichthys crocea (large yellow croaker), 188 nucleotides. RefSeq lists it as uncharacterized. NCBI's taxonomy places the organism in Eukaryota, Metazoa, Chordata, Actinopteri, Sciaenidae. The transcript is spliced from 2 exons. The record is from RefSeq and is a predicted model, not a curated record.